UGCAUCAGCCGUGAAUCGAACACGGGGCCCAUCGAAGUUGAUCAGGCGUCUUGGAUCGGUUUUAGUCGCUCUAGACGGUGCUGGCAACGAUGGAUUUUACCACUAAACCACUGAUGC
RNAcentral lists this transfer RNA (117 nucleotides) under Elsinoe australis. Its description in RNAcentral is "tRNA-Gly". The record is from RNAcentral. Lineage: Eukaryota; Fungi; Ascomycota; Dothideomycetes; Myriangiales; Elsinoaceae.